RNAcentral lists this unclassified non-coding RNA (329 nucleotides) under soil metagenome. RNAcentral describes it as "partial contains 5.8S ribosomal RNA, internal transcribed spacer 2, and large subunit ribosomal RNA". The stretch from base 1 to 120 matches the Rfam family "5.8S ribosomal RNA", at positions 35 to 154 of the family's 154-position model. The record is from RNAcentral.
GAUGAAGAACGUAGCGAAAUGCGACAAGUAAUGUGAAUUGCAGAAUUCAGUGAAUCAUCGAAUCUUUGAACGCACAUUGCGCCCCUUGGUAUCCCGAGGGGCAUGCCUGUUCGAGCGUCAUUUCACCACUCAAGCCUGGCUUGGUGUUGGGCGACGUCCCCUUUGGGGACGCGCCUCGAAACGCUCGGCGGCGUGGCACCGGCUUUAAGCGUAGCAGAAUCUUUCGCUUUGGAAGUCGGGGCCCCGUCUGCCGGAAGACCUACUCGCAAGGUUGACCUCGGAUCAGGCAGGGAUACCCGCUGAACUUAAGCAUAUCAAUAAGCGGAGGA